CAGCUCAGGGCCACCUCCUCCAGGAAGCCCUCCUGAGGCCUCUCCCACUCCUCCCUGGGCUCCCAGAGGAGCCUUGGAGCAAGGAGGCCAAGAGAGGAAGAGGCCCGGAGCUGUCCUGGCCCCACCUCGCCUCCCCAGGUGGCCCCGUGCCGGUAUCCCUGUGCUCGGGACGCUCUCGUUUCUGGGCUGCGUCGGGCAGGAUGAGCUCCCACGUGGCCAAUCUGGAGACGGAUCAGACCAGGAAUUCCACAGCCGGCAGAGCGGAGCCAGGCUUAAUGCCGAGAAAACCGGCGCCCCUGCUGCCGCCGGCCCAGGGCCCCACUCACAGCCAGCACCGCCUCCUGAACGCCCUGAUGCCCCGCUGGGGCUCUGAGGGUCCCCGCCUGCCUGGACCACAGCAAAGUGGCUGAAGUGGCCAACCGCCCACUGUGCCCAGGCCUGGGAGAGGUGGGAGCUGGGCCUGGCGGGGACCCUGCUGUCCACUUAGGACAGGGCUCCCCCAGGUCUGUGGACAGCUUCCCAGAGCUCCCUGCCGGCCAGCUUCAGGCCAUAGAGGGCCAGACAAAAAGACCACCGCCUCGAAGACGCCCUCCCGGACAGCCACCUGUGCCUACAUCGUGUACAAAAAUGACCUGGAGUGUGUUUCUGCCGCAUUGUCAAUCCCUCCCCGCCUUCCAGUGUGUACCUCUCCUAAGCUCCACCCAAUGUGGUCCAUCCUGGUGCCUGAAACCCUGAAGGCACGCAACUCAAAGACGGAGGCUUCACCACACUCAGUUAAUGAAACCGGCUUUUAUGAGACGCACCGGACCAGCUGCGUGGCUUUGGCUGAGCUGCGUAACCUUUCUGAACCUUAUCUCCGGGCUGCCAUGAGAAUUGAGAGUGAGGAAGGCCCGGGGCCCUCACAGGUGAGUGUCUCACCAGGUGGGAGAGCCGCUUCCCGGAGGGUACAGCCUGCGAGGGUGUGGGCUGCCCAGGGCUCCAUGAGGUUUAAGACCCCAAACUCGAAGGCAGCCUGGUUUGAGUGCCGGCUCUGCUGCGCUCUGGUCCUGACAUGGGAGAACGUCACUUGGCCCCUGCCUCAGUUGCCCCAUCUGGAAAGGGAGGUGACAGCCAUAGAUGCUUCAGCAGCCCAUGCUGGGGAAACCUGGACGUGGCCACCUUGGAGUUUUAGGGGCAGGGAGCAGGAUGUCUGGAGAGUUCCAUGAAGUUCUAGGACCCAGCAGAGCCCUGGGCGUGGGCAGGGCUGGAAAGACUGGGACAGACCCCGUGCAGUUUCAGGGCCCCUGGAUGGACGGAGCCUGGAGCCGGGGCAGUCAGCGUGUGUGUGUGUGUGUCCACCUGUGUGUCUCUGCAUGUGUGUGCCUGUGACUGCCUGGGGGCAGGGACUGAGGGUACGCUAGCUGGGGAUGGCACCCGUUUCCUGCCAGUGAAGACAGAGUGGCAGGGGGAGGGGUCCUAGAGAAAGUCCCAGCCUCUGGUUCAGAGGGGGAAAC
This 1493-nucleotide long non-coding RNA is filed under the name Macaca mulatta (Rhesus monkey). Its description in RNAcentral is "lncRNA (ENSMMUG00000065006.1)". Lineage: Eukaryota; Metazoa; Chordata; Mammalia; Primates; Cercopithecidae. The record is from RNAcentral.